GUGAUGUAAGUGGCCAGGCCCGAUCUGUGAGGACUACAGCCCGGUUGGCUGA
Molecule: small nucleolar RNA, 52 nt
Filed under: Pyrobaculum oguniense TE7
Lineage: Archaea; Thermoproteati; Thermoproteota; Thermoprotei; Thermoproteales; Thermoproteaceae
Description: POGsR13a
Source: RNAcentral